Molecule: non-coding RNA, 240 nt
Organism: Pelobates cultripes (western spadefoot toad)
Lineage: Eukaryota; Metazoa; Chordata; Amphibia; Anura; Pelobatidae
Source: the annotation of a GenBank genome assembly
AUUUGGUCAGGCCUUGUGUAUGAAUCCUGCCAGCUGGGAAUAGAGCCCUGCGAGCACUGAGUGGGACCAUUGACCUGCUUCACAAUUAACAAACUGAAUACAGUAUCUCCUUAUAGUGGGAAAGGCGGCAACUUAGACCCUACGCCUCCCUCUGUGCGCAAGUGACGGGGAGUCAGUCUAUGGGGUCCACAUAUUGCACACAUUGUGAAAAUCAAAUCCUUUGCCGGCAGAGCAUUAUAG